RNAcentral lists this ribosomal RNA (403 nucleotides) under Verrucomicrobiota bacterium. RNAcentral's name for it is "Verrucomicrobia bacterium partial 16S ribosomal RNA". It matches the Rfam family "Bacterial small subunit ribosomal RNA", at positions 355 to 776 of the family's 1533-position model. Lineage: Bacteria; Pseudomonadati; Verrucomicrobiota. The record is from RNAcentral.
UGGGGAAUAUUGCACAAUGGGCGCAAGCCUGAUGCAGCAACGCCGCGUGAACGAUGAAGGUCUUCGGAUCGUAAAGUUCUGUUGCAGGGGAAGAUAAUGACGGUACCCUGUGAGGAAGCCCCGGCUAACUACGUGCCAGCAGCCGCGGUAAUACGUAGGGGGCUAGCGUUAUCCGGAUUUACUGGGCGUAAAGGGUGCGUAGGUGGUCUUUCAAGUCGGUGGUUAAAGGCUACGGCUCAACCGUAGUUAGCCUCCGAAACUGGAAGACUUGAGUGCAGGAGAGGAAAGUGGAAUUCCCAGUGUAGCGGUGAAAUGCGUAGAUAUUGGGAGGAACACCAGUAGCGAAGGCGGCUUUCUGGACUGCAACCGACACUGAGGCACGAAAGCGUGGGUAGCAAACAGG